RNAcentral lists this ribosomal RNA (392 nucleotides) under uncultured Glomus. RNAcentral describes it as "SSU rRNA". It matches the Rfam family "Eukaryotic small subunit ribosomal RNA", at positions 569 to 965 of the family's 1831-position model. The record is from RNAcentral. Lineage: Eukaryota; Fungi; Glomeromycota; Glomeromycetes; Glomerales; Glomeraceae.
AGCAGCCGCGGUAAUUCCAGCUCCAAUAGCGUAUAUUAAAGUUGUUGCAGUUAAAAAGCUCGUAGUUGAAUUUUGGGACUAACAGGUUGGUCGCGCCUUUGGUGUGUACUGGCCUAGUUGGUUUCUCCCUUCUGACGAACCACGAUGUCAUUAAUUUGGUGUCGUGGGAAAUCAGGACUGUUACUUUGAAAAAAUUAGUGUGUUUAAAGCGGGCUCACGCUUGAAUACAUUAGCAUGGAAUAAUGAAAUAGGACGUUUGAUUCUAUUUUGUUGGUUUCUAGGAUCGACGUAAUGAUUAAUAGGGAUAGUUGGGGGCAUUAGUAUUCAAUUGUCAGAGGUGAAAUCCUUGGAUUUAUUGAAGACUAACUACUGCGAAAGCAUUUGCCAAGGAU